AAUCAACGCUGGCGGCGUGCCUCAGACAUGCAAGUCGAACGCGAAAGUCCCCUUCGGGGGACAAGUAGAGUGGCGCACGGGUGAGUAACACGUAGGUAAUCUACCUUCGGAUGGGGAAUAACAACCGGAAACGGUUGCUAAUACCGCAUAAUGCAGCGGCACCUAAUGGUGACAGUUGUUAAAGCGGGGGAUCGUAAGACCUCGCGUCUGAAGAGGAGCCUGCGGCGGAUUAGCUAGNGGUAAGGUAAUGGCUUACCAAGGCUACGAUCCGUAACCGGCCCUGAGAGGGCGGUCGGUCACACUGACAACUGACAUACGGGUCAGACUCCUACGGGAGGCAGCAGUCGGGAAUUUUGGGCAA
This 361-nucleotide ribosomal RNA is filed under the name uncultured bacterium. RNAcentral describes it as "bacterial SSU rRNA". It matches the Rfam family "Bacterial small subunit ribosomal RNA", at positions 32 to 371 of the family's 1533-position model. The record is from RNAcentral.